RNAcentral lists this long non-coding RNA (538 nucleotides) under Triticum aestivum (bread wheat). RNAcentral describes it as "long non-coding RNA (TAES_LNC001046)". Lineage: Eukaryota; Viridiplantae; Streptophyta; Magnoliopsida; Poales; Poaceae. The record is from RNAcentral.
AGCUCCGGCAGGUACGUGUCCGUGGAUCUAAUGAACCCGCAUAGCUCAGCCUGCAUGGAGUGGGGAUCCAAGCUCCAAAAGAUUGUUCUUCAUGGCAGAUGGGCACUUACAUCUUUCCUGACGCAUUUGUAGAAGCAAGCUCCGGCGCGCGAGGCGAAGGUGACCACCUUGUCGAGGUAGCCAGGGCAAGGGAUGGGUGGCAGCACUUCCUGAGGCUGCGAGGAAGAAAAGUGAAUCUUCCAGAGCAAGGGUGUGUGCGGUCGAUGCAGUGCAUGUAUAUAUUAAAAAAUGUUUGCUGGAAUCCACCGUUCGGUGUGUAACGGCUGAGCCGUGGACCACGACGCUAGUGUCCAUCUGAGCCGGCUAGUGCUGGAUGAUGGACGUCUCAAUAAAUGCGGUCGGUGAGUGGGCCCUAGUCUGUGGAAAAGCAUCUCAUACUACUCAGAAUACGCAGUAAAAUACAUCUCCUGAUGCGAAUCUUAGCGCCAGACGAUGGCUGGGAUAGCAGGUCCAUCUGAGCUCGAGCUCAGAAUAGGAC